AGAGUUUGAUCAUGGCUCAGAGCGAACGUUAGCGGCGCGCCUAACACAUGCAAGUCGCACGAGAAAGGGCUUCGGCCCCAGUAAAGUGGCGCACGGGUGCGUAACACGUAGGCAAUCUUCCCUUGAGCGGGGGAUAACGUUUCGAAAGAGACGCUAAUACCGCAUAAGACCACGUCCUGUUCGCAGGAUGCGGUCAAAGCUGGCCUCUUCUUGAAAGCUAGCACUUAAGGACGAGCCUGCGGCCCAUCAGCUAGUUGGUAGGGUAAUGGCCUACCAAGGCGAAGACGGGUAGCUGGUCUGAGAGGAUGAUCAGCCACACUGGAACUGAAACACGGUCCAGACUCCUACGGGAGGCAGCAGUGGGGAAUAUUGGACAAUGGGCGAAAGCCUGAUCCAGCGACGCCGCGUGAGUGAUGAAGGCCUUCGGGUUGUAAAGCUCUGUUGAGGGAGAAGAAAACGUUUGGCGCGAAUAGCUCCAGACCUUGACGGUAUCCCUUUAGAAAGCACCGGCUAACUCUGUGCCAGCAGCCGCGGUAAGACAGAGGGUGCAAACGUUGCUCGGAAUUACUGGGCGUAAAGCGCGUGUAGGCGGACCUUCAAGUCGGACGUGAAAGCCCUAAGCUCAACUUAGGAACUGCAUCCGAAACUGGAGGCCUGGAGUAGUGGAGAGGAAAGCAGAAUUCCUGGUGUAGAGGUGAAAUUCGUAGAUAUCAGGAGGAACACCGGUGGCGAAGGCGGCUUUCUGGACACUUACUGACGCUGAGACGCGAAAGCGUGGGGAGCAAACAGGAUUAGAUACCCUAGUAGUCC
RNAcentral lists this ribosomal RNA (810 nucleotides) under uncultured bacterium. Its description in RNAcentral is "bacterial SSU rRNA". It matches the Rfam family "Bacterial small subunit ribosomal RNA", at positions 8 to 796 of the family's 1533-position model. The record is from RNAcentral.